CCUACGGGAGGCAGCAGUGAGGAAUAUUGGACAAUGGGCGCAAGCCUGAUCCAGCCAUGCCGCGUGCAGGAUGACGGUCCUAUGGAUUGUAAACUGCUUUUGUACAGGAAGAAACACUGGUUCGUGAACCAGCUUGACGGUACUGUAAGAAUAAGGAUCGGCUAACUCCGUGCCAGCAGCCGCGGUAAUACGGAGGAUCCAAGCGUUAUCCGGAAUCAUUGGGUUUAAAGGGUCCGUAGGCGGUUUGGUAAGUCAGUGGUGAAAGCCCAUCGCUCAACGGUGGAACGGCCAUUGAUACUGCCAGACUUGAAUUAUUAGGAAGUAACUAGAAUAUGUAGUGUAGCGGUGAAAUGCUUAGAGAUUACAUGGAAUACCAAUUGCGAAGGCAGGUUACUACUAAUUGAUUGACGCUGAUGGACGAAAGCGUGGGUAGCGAACAGGAUUAGAUACCCUGGUAGUCCACGCCGUAAACGAUGGAUACUAGCUGUUGGGAGCAAUCUCAGUGGCUAAGCGAAAGUGAUAAGUAUCCCACCUGGGGAGUACGUUCGCAAGAAUGAAACUUAAGAAAGUAGUAGACGNGUAGAGUUAGCGACGAGACGACACGGGAGGGUUAGGNG
Molecule: ribosomal RNA, 617 nt
Filed under: uncultured bacterium
Lineage: Bacteria
Description: bacterial SSU rRNA
Rfam family: Bacterial small subunit ribosomal RNA
Source: RNAcentral